UACGUAGGGUGCAAGCGUUGUCCGGAAUUAUUGGGCGUAAAGAGCUCGUAGGCGGUGUGUCGCGUCUGCUGUGAAAACUCAGGGCUCAACUCUGAGCUUGCAGUGGGUACGGGCACACUAGAGUGCUGUAGGGGAGACUGGAAUUCCUGGUGUAGCGGUGAAAUGCGCAGAUAUCGGGAAGAACACCCGUGGCGAAGGCGGCUCUCUGGGACGGUACUGACGCUGAGACGCGAAAGCGUGGGGAGCGAACAGG
RNAcentral lists this ribosomal RNA (253 nucleotides) under uncultured bacterium. RNAcentral describes it as "partial 16S ribosomal RNA". It matches the Rfam family "Bacterial small subunit ribosomal RNA", at positions 524 to 776 of the family's 1533-position model. The record is from RNAcentral.